Molecule: ribosomal RNA, 220 nt
Filed under: uncultured bacterium
Lineage: Bacteria
Description: partial 16S ribosomal RNA
Rfam family: Bacterial small subunit ribosomal RNA
Source: RNAcentral
GCAAGUCGAGCGCGCCGUUCGGUGUGGGCGGCGGACGGGUGAGUAACGCGUGGGAAUAUGCCCUUCUCUAAGGAAUAGCCUCUGGAAACGGAGAGUAAUACCUUAUACGCCCUUUGGGGGAAAGAUUAGUCGGAAAAGGAUUAGCCCGCGUUAGAUUAGGUAGUUGGUGGGGUAAUGGCCUACCAAGGCUACGAUCUAUAGCUGGUUUGAGAGGAUGAUC